RNAcentral lists this ribosomal RNA (253 nucleotides) under uncultured bacterium. RNAcentral's name for it is "partial 16S ribosomal RNA". It matches the Rfam family "Bacterial small subunit ribosomal RNA", at positions 524 to 776 of the family's 1533-position model. The record is from RNAcentral.
UACGUAGGGUGCGAGCGUUAAUCGGAAUUACUGGGCGUAAAGUGUGCGCAGGCGGCCGCGCAAGUCGAGUGUGAAAGCCCCGGGCUUAACUUGGGAAUUGCGCUCGAAACUACGUGGCUGGAGUGUGGCAGAGGAAGGUGGAAUUCCAGGUGUAGCGGUGAAAUGCGUAGAGAUCUGGAGGAACACCGAUGGCGAAGGCAGCCUUCUGGGCCGACACUGACGCUCAUGCACGAAAGCGUGGGGAGCAAACAGG